RNAcentral lists this ribosomal RNA (491 nucleotides) under uncultured bacterium. RNAcentral describes it as "partial 16S ribosomal RNA". It matches the Rfam family "Bacterial small subunit ribosomal RNA", at positions 28 to 507 of the family's 1533-position model. The record is from RNAcentral.
GAUGAACGCUGGCUACAGGCUUAACACAUGCAAGUCCAGGGGAAACGACGGGGAAGCUUGCUUCCCCGGGCGUCGACCGGCGCACGGGUGAGUAACGCGUAUCCAACCUGCCUCUGACUGAGGGAUAACCCGUCGAAAGUCGGCCUAAUACCUCAUGGCAUCGUCUGCGGGCAUCCAACGACGAUUAAAGAUUUCAUCGGUCAGAGAUGGGGAUGCGUCUGAUUAGCUUGUUGGCGGGGUAACGGCCCACCAAGGCGACGAUCAGUAGGGGUUCUGAGAGGAAGGUCCCCCACAUUGGAACUGAGACACGGUCCAAACUCCUACGGGAGGCAGCAGUGAGGAAUAUUGGUCAAUGGGCGAGAGCCUGAACCAGCCAAGUAGCGUGCAGGAUGACGGCCCUAUGGGUUGUAAACUGCUUUUAUGCGGGGAUAAAGUGAGGGACGUGUCCUUCAUUGCAGGUACCGCAUGAAUAAGGACCGGCUAAUUCCGUG